GCCGAAUUCCGCAGAUCUCUGCCGGGCCCCGCCCCUAUGGGCAAGGACCAAUGGUCUCUCUCUGGGCGGGGCUGCUGUUGGACGGCCUGGGCCAAUCCGAGGCGCCGGAGGCCAAUCAGUUGGCGGAGCGGCGCGUGCGCGGGCGAGGAACUGCCCGGGCGCGGUAGCGUACGGGAAGACCGGAGAGGAGCUGCGUCUCUGCCCCGUGGGAGCCGGCGGGGCGGCGGGGCGGCGGCUGCAGCUGCAGCUCCGGCGCGAGGGCUCCCUUGCCGGGCCCUCUUCCCCGACCCCUGGGGCGCUCCGACAAGGAAGAGCCGUCCAGCGCGCGUCCGUCCUGAGCGUGGAGGAGUUGGUGAACAGCAGGAUGGAUGGGAUGUCAGUCAGCUGUGCCCCUGGCUACCCCUGUGCUUGAACAGUGGACUGUGAGUGGCGGCGUCAUGCAGAAGGAGCACAGGGUCCCAGGCCAGCAUCACUAUCCAGGAGCUUCAGGCAUGCUCCGUGUACCAACAUGGGAUCACGAAUCACAUCGCCUCAGGCCAAGAAAGCCAUUUUAUAGCGAAAGAGCCUUAGGAUCUGCUGGAUUAGAGCCUGUUUCCCAGGUAGGAACGCUUCCACGAGGGCACUCCUGCUGGUUGCAGGAAGGAUACCUCUGCUGAGCCUGAAUCUGCAAAGACCACCAGGUUACUCUCAGCUCCUCAUACUGGUGGACCAGCAGGCCACAAAGGAGGGGAUACUUGAUCCUGAUAAACGGUUAUGCUUGUUUGCUGAUGGAAAUGAUCCAGAAGAGAAGGACAAGUUGACGAUUGAGAGGGUUAAUGUCAGGUAAGAAACUUGAGUGGACAUUGAGGAAAGAGCGAGGUUCAGUGGACUGGAGGUUUGUGGUGGUUUCAUGACACGUGGACUGGAGAUUUGCAGUGGUUUUAUGACACAUGGACUGGAGGUUUGUGGUGGUUUCAUGACACAUGGACUGCAGAUUUGCAGUGGUUUUAUGACACAGCUCCUAAGUUCUUUGACACUCUUCCCAUGGAGGGGUAGGGUCUGUGACCCCCCUCUUGAAG
This 1058-nucleotide long non-coding RNA is filed under the name Homo sapiens (human). RNAcentral describes it as "non-protein coding CHKB-DT:33". Lineage: Eukaryota; Metazoa; Chordata; Mammalia; Primates; Hominidae. The record is from RNAcentral.